GUAACGGCGAGUGAAGCGGCAACAGCCCAGAUUUGAAAUCCGGCCCCAGGCCCGAGUUGUAAUCUGCAGAUGGCUCUUCCGGCAAGGCGCGCGCCCGAGUUCCCUGGAAUGGGACGCCUCAGAGGGUGAGAGCCCCGUACAGGCGCGGCGCCGAGCCACCACGAUGGCCAUUCGACGAGUCGAGUAGUUUGGAAAUGCUGCUCUAAUCGCGGGGUAAAUCUCCCGUAAGGCUAAAUACCGGCCGGAGACCGAUAGCGAACAAGUAGCGUGAGCGAAAGAUGAAAAGAGCCUUGGAUAAGGGCGUCAAAAAGCAUGUGAAAUUGCUAUGGGGGAAGCGCUCGUCGCCAGACGCGGCGGCGGCUGGUUACCCGGCGUUCUCGCCGGCGCACUCAGACCGCCGCCGGGCCAGUACCGGCUGGCCGCGCGGCAUACUGCCGCGGGGAACGUGCCUCCCUCCGGGGAGGGUUAUAGCCCCGCGGAGACGCCGCGUGGCCGGCCGAGGACCGCGCGUAAGCGAGGGUACUGGCGUAAUGGCGCCCAGCGACCCGUCUUGAAACACGGACCAAGGAGUUGACCUGCCCUGCGAGUGUACGGGUGCAAAGCCCCUACGCGCAGUGAAAGCGAACGCUGGUGGGAGCCCUCGGGCGCACCAUCGACCGAUCCCGAAGUUCGCGGAAGGAUUUGAGUAGGAGCGGGGCGGGUCUGACCCGAAAGAAGGUGAACUAUGCAUGAAUAGGGUGAAGCCAGAGGAAACUCUGGUGGAGGCUCGCAGCGGUUCUGACGUGCAAAUCGAUCGUCAAAUUUGUGCAUGGGGGCGAAAG
RNAcentral lists this ribosomal RNA (821 nucleotides) under Savoryella nypae. RNAcentral's name for it is "partial large subunit ribosomal RNA". It matches the Rfam family "Eukaryotic large subunit ribosomal RNA", at positions 83 to 929 of the family's 3401-position model. Lineage: Eukaryota; Fungi; Ascomycota; Sordariomycetes; Savoryellales; Savoryellaceae. The record is from RNAcentral.